RNAcentral lists this ribosomal RNA (1372 nucleotides) under uncultured bacterium. RNAcentral describes it as "bacterial SSU rRNA". It matches the Rfam family "Bacterial small subunit ribosomal RNA", at positions 28 to 1381 of the family's 1533-position model. The record is from RNAcentral.
GAUGAACGCUGGCGGCGUGCCUAAUACAUGCAAGUCGAGCGAACGGACGAGAAGCUUGCUUCUCUGAUGUUAGCGGCGGACGGGUGAGUAACACGUGGAUAACCUACCUAUAAGACUGGGAUAACUUCGGGAAACCGGAGCUAAUACCGGAUAAUAUUUUGAACCGCAUGGUUCAAAAGUGAAAGACGGUCUUGCUGUCACUUAUAGAUGGAUCCGCGCUGCAUUAGCUAGUUGGUAAGGUAACGGCUUACCAAGGCAACGAUGCAUAGCCGACCUGAGAGGGUGAUCGGCCACACUGGAACUGAGACACGGUCCAGACUCCUACGGGAGGCAGCAGUAGGGAAUCUUCCGCAAUGGGCGAAAGCCUGACGGAGCAACGCCGCGUGAGUGAUGAAGGUCUUCGGAUCGUAAAACUCUGUUAUUAGGGAAGAACAUAUGUGUAAGUAACUGUGCACAUCUUGACGGUACCUAAUCAGAAAGCCACGGCUAACUACGUGCCAGCAGCCGCGGUAAUACGUAGGUGGCAAGCGUUAUCCGGAAUUAUUGGGCGUAAAGCGCGCGUAGGCGGUUUUUUAAGUCUGAUGUGAAAGCCCACGGCUCAACCGUGGAGGGUCAUUGGAAACUGGAAAACUUGAGUGCAGAAGAGGAAAGUGGAAUUCCAUGUGUAGCGGUGAAAUGCGCAGAGAUAUGGAGGAACACCAGUGGCGAAGGCGACUUUCUGGUCUGUAACUGACGCUGAUGUGCGAAAGCGUGGGGAUCAAACAGGAUUAGAUACCCUGGUAGUCCACGCCGUAAACGAUGAGUGCUAAGUGUUAGGGGGUUUCCGCCCCUUAGUGCUGCAGCUAACGCAUUAAGCACUCCGCCUGGGGAGUACGACCGCAAGGUUGAAACUCAAAGGAAUUGACGGGGACCCGCACAAGCGGUGGAGCAUGUGGUUUAAUUCGAAGCAACGCGAAGAACCUUACCAAAUCUUGACAUCCUUUGACAACUCUAGAGAUAGAGCUUUCCCCUUCGGGGGACAGAGUGACAGGUGGUGCAUGGUUGUCGUCAGCUCGUGUCGUGAGAUGUUGGGUUAAGUCCCGCAACGAGCGCAACCCUUAAGCUUAGUUGCCAUCAUUAAGUUGGGCACUCUAAGUUGACUGCCGGUGACAAACCGGAGGAAGGUGGGGAUGACGUCAAAUCAUCAUGCCCCUUAUGAUUUGGGCUACACACGUGCUACAAUGGACAAUACAAAGGGCAGCGAAACCGCGAGGUCAAGCAAAUCCCAUAAAGUUGUUCUCAGUUCGGAUUGUAGUCUGCAACUCGACUACAUGAAGCUGGAAUCGCUAGUAAUCGUAGAUCAGCAUGCUACGGUGAAUACGUUCCCGGGUCU